RNAcentral lists this ribosomal RNA (611 nucleotides) under uncultured bacterium. RNAcentral describes it as "bacterial SSU rRNA". It matches the Rfam family "Bacterial small subunit ribosomal RNA", at positions 62 to 683 of the family's 1533-position model. The record is from RNAcentral.
UCGACGAGGUCCAACCAAUCUUCGGGUUGGGGAAGACCUAGUGGCGAACGGGUGAGUAACACGUGAGGAACCUGCCCCGAAGACUGGGAUAACACCGGGAAACCGGUGCUAAUACCGGAUGCCCUCAGCGGACCGCAUGAUCUGCUGAGGAAAUGGAUUCCGCUUCGGGAGGGUCUCGCGGCCUAUCAGCUUGUUGGUGGGGUAACGGCCCACCAAGGCGUCGACGGGUAGCUGGUCUGAGAGGACGAUCAGCCACACUGGGACUGAGACACGGCCCAGACUCCUACGGGAGGCAGCAGUGGGGAAUCUUGCGCAAUGGGCGAAAGCCUGACGCAGCAACGCCGCGUGGGGGAUGAAGGCUCUCGGGUUGUAAACCCCUUUCAGCAGGGACGAUAGUGACGGUACCUGCAGAAGAAGCCCCGGCCAACUACGUGCCAGCAGCCGCGGUAACACGUAGGGGGCAAGCGUUGUCCGGAUUUAUUGGGCGUAAAGAGCUCGUAGGCGGCUCGGUAAGUCGGGUGUGAAAACUCGGGGCUCAACCCCGAGACGCCACUCGAUACUGCCAUGGCUUGAGUCCGGUAGGGGAGCAGGGAAUUCCUGGUGUAGCGGUG